CGGACGGGUGAGUAAUGUCUGGGAAACUGCCCAUGGAGGGGGAGUAACUACUGGAAACGGUAGCUAAUACCGCAUAACGUCGCAAGACCAAAGAGGGGGACCUUCGGGCCUCUUGCCAUCGGAUGUGCCCAGAUGGGAUUAGCUAGUAGGUGGGGUAACGGCUCACCUAGGCGACGAUCCCUAGCUGGUCUGAGAGGAUGACCAGCCACACUGGAACUGAGACACGGUCCAG
RNAcentral lists this ribosomal RNA (232 nucleotides) under uncultured bacterium. RNAcentral describes it as "partial 16S ribosomal RNA". It matches the Rfam family "Bacterial small subunit ribosomal RNA", at positions 99 to 334 of the family's 1533-position model. The record is from RNAcentral.